This 406-nucleotide ribosomal RNA is filed under the name uncultured bacterium. RNAcentral describes it as "partial 16S ribosomal RNA". It matches the Rfam family "Bacterial small subunit ribosomal RNA", at positions 361 to 774 of the family's 1533-position model. The record is from RNAcentral.
AUAUUGCGCAAUGGAGGAAACUCUUACGCAGCGACGCCGCGUGAGCGAUGAAGGUCUUCGGAUCGUAAAGCUCUGUCCUUUGGGAAGAAGGUCUUCUGACUUGACGGUACCCAUGGAGGAAGCCCCGCCUCACUACGUGCCCGCAGCCGCGGUAAUACGUAGGGGGCAAGCGUUGUCCGGAAUUAUUGGGAGUAAAGCGUGCGUAGGCGGCCUUUUAAGUCAGAUGUGAAAGCCCACGGCUCAACCGUGGGAUUGCAGUUGAAACUGGAGGGCUUGAGUAUCGGAGAGGGUAGUGGAAUUCCCAGUGUAGCGGUGAAAUGCGUAGAUAUUGGGAGGAACACCAGUGGCGAAGGCGACUACCUGGACGAUUACUGACGCUGAUGCACGAAAGCUAGGGGAGCAAACA